Molecule: ribosomal RNA, 253 nt
Filed under: uncultured prokaryote
Description: partial 16S ribosomal RNA
Rfam family: Bacterial small subunit ribosomal RNA
Source: RNAcentral
ACAGAGGUCCCAAGCGUUGUUCGGAAUUACUGGGCGUAAAGCGUGCGCAGGCGGUUGGGCAAGACAGAUGUGAAAUCCCCGGGCUCAACCUGGGAAUGGCAUUUGUGACUGUCUGGCUAGAGUGUGUCAGAGGGGGGUAGAAUUCCACGUGUAGCAGUGAAAUGCGUAGAGAUGUGGAGGAAUACCGAUGGCGAAGGCAGCCCCCUGGGAUAACACUGACGCUCAUGCACGAAAGCGUGGGGAGCAAACAGGA